AUGGUGGAAUUGGAAGCUGCCCUUUCGGCCACCCGCACAAAUACGGCCCCGGGACCAGGUGGGUUCCCGAUGACGUUCUACAAGAAAUUCUGGCCACUUGUGGGGCGGCAGAUGUUCGCGCUGCUGAAUGAUUUCACAAGAGGCAGAAUCGACAUAAAGAGGCUAAACUGCACAAUCAUCACCCUGCUUCCUAAGACUCCAGGGGCGGAGCUUAUCAAGCAGUUUAGACCCAUAGCGCUAAUAAACGUGGGAUUCCGCCUUAUGGUCAAGGGGUUUGCCACCCGGCUUUCCCCGGUGGCACAUCGGGUCAUCAGCCAGAGCCAGUCGGCCUUUAUCCGUGGUAGGAGUAUCCUUGAGGGGAUUUCGGUCCUUCAUGAAAUCCUCCACAUAGCUGCCCAAGAGAAGGAAGACUUUUUGAUUCUGAAGUUAGAUUUUGAAAAAGCAUAUGACCGAGUUAACUGGGACUUCCUGGAAGAGGUCAUGAGAUUAAAGGGGUUUUCACCAUUGUGGGUGAGCUGGGUUAUGCAGAUGGUACGAGGAGGCCAAACCACCAUCAACAUCAACGGCGAGCCGGGGCCGUAUUUCCGGAAUACCCGAGGGGUCAGGCAAGGAGAUCCCAUAUCCCGGUUGGUUUUUAACAUUGUGGUCGAGGCACUGGCC
RNAcentral lists this ribosomal RNA (660 nucleotides) under Triticum aestivum (bread wheat). RNAcentral's name for it is "partial small subunit ribosomal RNA". Lineage: Eukaryota; Viridiplantae; Streptophyta; Magnoliopsida; Poales; Poaceae. The record is from RNAcentral.